AGGACGAACGCUGGCGGCGUGCUUAACACAUGCAAGUCGAGCGGAAAGGCCCUUCGGGGUACUCGAGCGGCGAACGGGUGAGUAACACGUGAGUAAUCUGCCCCUAGCUCUGGGAUAGCUUCGGGAAACCGGGAUUAAUACCAGAUACGACCACUUUAGACAUCUUCUGUGGUGGAAAGAACUUCGGCUAGGGAUGAACUCGCGGCCUAUCAGCUUGUUGGUGAGGUAACGGCUCACCAAGGCGACGACGGGUA
This 254-nucleotide ribosomal RNA is filed under the name uncultured bacterium. RNAcentral's name for it is "partial small subunit ribosomal RNA". It matches the Rfam family "Bacterial small subunit ribosomal RNA", at positions 26 to 285 of the family's 1533-position model. The record is from RNAcentral.